UUUUUUUUACAAAUACCUGUACUAUCACUAACACAUUUACUGUUUUACUUUUAGCCUGUGGAUACAAAUGCAGAUUUCCUUAAUGUAAGUUGUGCAUUUUAAUUACAUCAUGUUAUUUUUAUUAUUAUUUAUUUAUUUAUUUUAUUUUACAUUCAAAUAUUUCAAGCUUCUUGGUUAAAGAAGCUUGAUUGCUAGUAGGUAAAGAAUAGUUCACCUAUAAUUCAUAUUCCCAAUUAAUUUCUCACCUCUGAUUGAAUGCCUUUGUUUGUUUUCCUUUUGACUAUAACAAAACAUUUUUGCUGGAUAUAUAUGGUGAAUUUAUAUGCAUAGAUACAGUCGUAGUGCUUGACACAUGCAAACAGCAGUAGAUGUACUAAAAAGGAAAUAAUUACAAUCAUGAUGUUGAUUGCUGAUGUCAGUAUAUAUAUUUUAGAGGAAUGUUUUGUUUUUCACCCAAAAUGAACUAUAUUGCUUCAGAAGAGAUUUAUUACCCUACCGGACUCUUAUAUAUUGUUCUGUUUUUUGUUUGUUUUUGUUAUUUUCAGGUUCAAUGGUGCGUGUUCUUCUAAUGGCCGCCUUCCCACUGGAGGUUUUGAUCCACAGCAAUUUAAAAGGAGGACAGAGCAAAACGGACAUCGGCGCAGAGUGAAGAACUGCCCUUGAUAAGGACACUAUGACAGCCAUAUAUAUGGCGGUAAGGAAGGGGUUUCCCAGCGUGUCCAGAAGGGCUUUGAGGAUUGCCGUGAAAGCUGGGGGAACUGAGACUGCUGGAAAAGGAAAAGAAAUUACAUUUUAAGUAUGCUGACUUA
Maylandia zebra (zebra mbuna) is the source of this 809-nucleotide non-coding RNA. Lineage: Eukaryota; Metazoa; Chordata; Actinopteri; Cichliformes; Cichlidae. The record is from RefSeq and is a predicted model, not a curated record.